Molecule: ribosomal RNA, 482 nt
Filed under: uncultured bacterium
Lineage: Bacteria
Description: partial 16S ribosomal RNA
Rfam family: Bacterial small subunit ribosomal RNA
Source: RNAcentral
AUUGAACGCUGGCGGCAUGCCUUACACAUGCAAGUCGAACGGUAACAGGUCUUCGGAUGCUGACGAGUGGCGAACGGGUGAGUAAUACAUCGGAACGUGCCCAGACGUGGGGGAUAACGAGGCGAAAGCUUUGCUAAUACCGCAUACGAUCUAAGGAUGAAAGCAGGGGACCGCAAGGCCUUGCGCGUUUGGAGCGGCCGAUGGCAGAUUAGGUAGUUGGUGGGAUAAAAGCUUACCAAGCCGACGAUCUGUAGCUGGUCUGAGAGGACGACCAGCCACACUGGGACUGAGACACGGCCCAGACUCCUAAGGGAGGCAGCAGUUGGGAAUUUUGGACAAUGGGCGAAAGCCUGAUCCAGCAAUGCCGCGUGGAGGAUGAAGGCCUUCGGGUUGUAAACUGCUUUUGUACGGAAAGAAAAGGCUCUGGCUAAUACCUGGGGCACAUGACGGUACCGUAAGAAUAAGCACCGGCUAACUACGUG